ACAUAACUGAUGCCUCCGCGUAUCGACUUUGUGCGCAUUUUAGCUAUUAUGUGUUCUUUUAAUUAAAAUGAUUCUUUUUAAGAUUCAUCUAUUAAAAAUUUGCUUUGGCAUAAUUUUUUUUGAUGAUCUUGUUACUUUGAGUAAAUUAGAGUGUUCAAAGCAAACAGAUAUAGCAUUUGUGCGUUUGAAUACUACAGCAUGGAAUAACAAAAUUGAACAAGUCAGAAUUUUUUUGUUCUUUUUUCUUAUUUUGGCUUAGUUACGAUUAAUAGGAGUAGCUUGGGGGCAUUUGUAUUCAGAUGUCAGAGGUGAAAUUCUUAGAUUUUCUGGAGACAAACAACUGCGAAAGCAUUUGCCUAAAAUACUUCCAUUAAUCAAGAACGAAAGUUAAGGGAGUGAAGACGAUCAGAUACCGUCGUAAUCUUAACCAUAAACUAUGCCGACUAGGCUUUGGAUGAAAGAUUUUAAAAUAAGAGUUUUUCUUUUCUCUCCGGAGAUUAGAACUCUUAGAUUGCUUCCUUCAGUGCCUUAUGAGAAAUCAAAGUCUUUGGGUUCUGGGGCGAGUAUUCGCGCAAGCGAGAAAGUUAAAAGAAUUGACGGAAGGGCACCACCAGGCGUGGAGCUUGCGGCUUAAUUUGACUCAACACGGGAAAACUCACUAGUUUAAGACAAGAGUAGGAUUGACAGAUUAAUAGCUCUUUCUUGAUUUCUUGGAUGGUGAUGCAUGGCCGUUUUUAGUUCGUGAAUAUGAUUUGCCUGGUUAAUUCCGAUAACGAACGAGAUCUUAACCUGCUAAUUAGCGGCAAAUACGAUAUAUUCUUAUGUAGAAUUGAAUAUAGUGGAUUUGUUAGAUUUUGAAGAAAAUAUUGGAAUUACGUUAAAUGUGAUUCCUUUCCCUUUUCUACUUAAUUUACAUUUCCAUCUAUUUCUUUUUUGCGUAUGAAUGUAUUUGCUUGAUUGUAAAGCUUCUUAGAGGAACGAUGUGUG
RNAcentral lists this ribosomal RNA (987 nucleotides) under Plasmodium knowlesi. RNAcentral describes it as "SSU rRNA". It matches the Rfam family "Eukaryotic small subunit ribosomal RNA", at positions 638 to 1428 of the family's 1831-position model. The record is from RNAcentral. Lineage: Eukaryota; Apicomplexa; Aconoidasida; Haemosporida; Plasmodiidae.